RNAcentral lists this long non-coding RNA (980 nucleotides) under Homo sapiens (human). RNAcentral describes it as "long independently transcribed non-coding RNA 2796 (LINC02796)". Lineage: Eukaryota; Metazoa; Chordata; Mammalia; Primates; Hominidae. The record is from RNAcentral.
AAAACAAAGCAUCAGGUCUUGAAAGCACCAAGAAUAAAACAGUCCAUUGCUUAUACAUUGGAUUACCAUCUGAAACAAUGGAGCACACAAAACAGUGAAAUGACAUAUUCAAAGUUCUAAAAGCAAAACAAACCCACUUUGAAAACAAGGAAUUCUCUCUCUAGCAAAACUCUUCUUUAAAAAUGAAGGCAAGUGAUAUGGGAAACCACAGCAAAUUUUGAUCAGAAGAGUAAUAUCAACUAACUCCACUUGGACCGCAUGGAAACGAGGAAGGAGAAUACUACAGCAACCUGGAAGCCAGUGAAAAAUGAUGGCAACACUAUCUAAGAUGGUAAAAAAUUGACGAAGAAAAGCUCAUUUCGAACUGUUGAGGAGAGAAAUGUAUUUGCAGAGAGAGCAUGAAAAAUCAUGAACCACUCCAUGGGUUUUGCCUUGUGCAAGUGGAAGCAAGGGAAGAAGAUAAAGAGAUGUUUUUAUGGGGCUUCUCUACUUAACACAAUCCUGAGAUUUAACACAGGAUGGAAAAGAAGGCAUUAUAAAAUUUCAGUAAGAUGGGAUCUUGCCAUGUUGUUCAGGCUGGCCUUGAAUUACUGGACUCGAGUGAUCCUCCAACCUCGGCCUCCUGAGUACAUAUUCCCUGGUCUAUAGAUGAAGAAAUGAAGGUUCAAGAAUACUGGACAUCUGGACUAAUUAAAUGACAACUAAAUGGCAGAAAUGGUAUUUAAGCUCAGGCCUAGCAGAUGCAAAGUCAUGGGCACAUGUCAAGUAUGUAAUAUUGUAUAGCCUAUUAACUCAUCAAUUUAGUCUUUAGAAGGCUGAAUUUCUAAUAUGUAUCAGGAAUAACAUAAAAGGUUGAGAGGAAAACCAUAAAAAGACAAGAUCCAUAUGCAAGUUUAAUUAAUUCAAUAGAAUUUUAAUUAUUUGCCAUGUACUAGUAGUUGUGUGAGACACUACUGACAAAUAAAAAGAUAAGUUAAAAA